UCUACUACUAGGCGUUGAUGUUUUCGAU
This 28-nucleotide small RNA is filed under the name Bombyx mori (domestic silkworm). Its description in RNAcentral is "ovarian small RNA-29467". Lineage: Eukaryota; Metazoa; Arthropoda; Insecta; Lepidoptera; Bombycidae. The record is from RNAcentral.